RNAcentral lists this ribosomal RNA (500 nucleotides) under uncultured bacterium. Its description in RNAcentral is "partial 16S ribosomal RNA". It matches the Rfam family "Bacterial small subunit ribosomal RNA", at positions 30 to 523 of the family's 1533-position model. The record is from RNAcentral.
AUUGAACGCUGGCGGAAUGCUUUACACAUGCAAGUCGAACGGCAGCACGGACUUCGGUCUGGUGGCGAGUGGCGAACGGGUGAGUAAUGUAUCGGAACGUGCCCAGUCGUGGGGGAUAACGUAGUGAAAAUUACGCUAAUACCGCAUACGAUCUAUGGAUGAAAGCGGGGGAUCGCAAGACCUCGCGCGAUUGGAGCGGCCGAGAUCAGAUUAGGUAGUUGGUGGGGUAAAGGCCCACCAAGCCAACGAUCUGUAGCUGGUCUGAGAGGACGAACGGCCACACUGGAACUGAGACACGGUCCAGACUCCUACGUGAGGCAGCAGUGGGGAAUUUUGGACAAUGGGCGAAAGCCUGAUCCAGCCAUUCCGCGUGCAGGAUGAAGGCCCUCGGGUUGUAAACUGCUUUUGUACAGAACGAAAAGGUUUCUACUAAUACUAGGAGCUCAUGACGGUACUGUAAGAAUAGGCACCGGCUAACUACGUGCCAGCCGCCGCCGUAA